Molecule: unclassified non-coding RNA, 344 nt
Filed under: soil metagenome
Description: partial contains 5.8S ribosomal RNA, internal transcribed spacer 2, and large subunit ribosomal RNA
Rfam family: 5.8S ribosomal RNA (bases 1-121)
Source: RNAcentral
GAUGAAGAACGUAGCGAAAUGCGAUAAGUAAUGCGAAUUGCAGAAUUUCCGUGAGUCAUCGAAUCUUUGAACGCACAUUGCGCCCGCUAGUAUUCUGGCGGGCAUGCCUGUCCGAGCGUCAUUUCAACCCUCAAGCCCCCGGGCUUGGUGUUGGGGAUCGGCGAGCCUCCGCGCCCGCCGUCCCCUAAAUCUAGUGGCGGUCUCGCUGUAGCUUCCUCUGCGUAGUAGCACACCUCGCACUGGGAAACAGCGCGGACACGCCGUUAAACCCCCAACUUCUGAACGUUUGACCUCGGAUCAGGUAGGAAUACCCGCUGAACUUAAGCAUAUCAAUAAGCGGAGGA